UACGUAGGUGGCAAGCGUUAUCCGGAAUUAUUGGGCGUAAAGCGCGCGCAGGUGGCUUCUUAAGUCUGAUGUGAAAGCCCACGGCUCAACCGUGGAGGGUCAUUGGAAACUGGGAGACUUGAGUGCAGAAGAGGAAAGUGGAAUUCCAUGUGUAGCGGUGAAAUGCGUAGAGAUAUGGAGGAACACCAGUGGCGAAGGCGACUUUCUGGUCUGUAACUGACACUGAGGCGCGAAAGCGUGGGGAGCAAACAGG
Molecule: ribosomal RNA, 253 nt
Filed under: uncultured bacterium
Lineage: Bacteria
Description: partial 16S ribosomal RNA
Rfam family: Bacterial small subunit ribosomal RNA
Source: RNAcentral